GAUAGUGUGGCUGAAAUAGCGCUAAACUGUAAAUUUAGUAAUGGGCCCCAGUCCCCCCUAUCU
RNAcentral lists this transfer RNA (63 nucleotides) under Calanus glacialis. RNAcentral describes it as "tRNA-Tyr". It matches the Rfam family "tRNA". From Rfam's summary of the family: Transfer RNA (tRNA) molecules are approximately 80 nucleotides in length. Their secondary structure includes four short double-helical elements and three loops (D, anti-codon, and T loops). Lineage: Eukaryota; Metazoa; Arthropoda; Copepoda; Calanoida; Calanidae. The record is from RNAcentral.